GAGAGGUGCUGCAUGGCUGUCGUCAGCUCGUGUUGUGAAAUGUUGGGUUAAGUCUCGCAACGAGCGCAACCCCUAUCGUCUGUUGCCAGCAUUAAGUUGGGCACUCUGACGAGACUGCCUGGGUUAACCAGGAGGAAGGUGGGGAUGACGUCAAGUCCUCAUGGCCCUUAUGUCUAGGGCUACACACGUAAUACAAUGGCGCGUACAGAGGGAUGCGAACCUGCAAAGGGGAGCAAAUCUCAAAAAGCGCGUCUCAGUCCGGAUUGAAGUCUGCAACUCGACUUCAUGAAGUUGGAAUCGCUAGUA
RNAcentral lists this ribosomal RNA (306 nucleotides) under uncultured Peredibacter sp. RNAcentral describes it as "bacterial SSU rRNA". It matches the Rfam family "Bacterial small subunit ribosomal RNA", at positions 1033 to 1340 of the family's 1533-position model. Lineage: Bacteria; Pseudomonadati; Bdellovibrionota; Bacteriovoracia; Bacteriovoracales; Bacteriovoracaceae. The record is from RNAcentral.